AAUCACCUUUUGAGUUUGUUCUUGUGGGUUUCGAGGAAGUUUAAAAGCCUUCGGAUUUGCUAGGAUUGGGCUCUUUUGGUGUACUUUCUCGUACGGUUAGUCAACAUCGGUUUUGAAUGUCAUAAAAUGACUGGAGGAAUGUGGCUUCGAUCUCGUAUCGAAGUGUUAUAACCUUUGGUAGAUGUGAUGUUCGAGACCGAGGAUUGCAACGGAUACCUUCUGGGCUAUUCCGUCUGAUCUCUGAUACGUUGCCUUGAUGUCGAAAGCGUGCUUAUGAUGUUAGGGUAUUACGGUCAAAAGGUUAGAACGGAUUAAAUUCGUUAAGGAUGUUGACGUA
This 337-nucleotide ribosomal RNA is filed under the name uncultured Glomeromycotina. RNAcentral's name for it is "eukaryotic LSU rRNA". The record is from RNAcentral. Lineage: Eukaryota; Fungi; Glomeromycota.